ACUUGUCUUCUGGCCCUCAGGUGCUGAAGGCUGAACAACUGUAGUCAUGUGGGGAGUGGGGAAGGGGAGUAAGAUCGGAGAAAGAACAAAAACCCAAGAAACAGAAAAUGGGGUCUCUGGAAAAUAACUAUCAAGGCAAACAAAAGAGACACAUUGGGUUGGAGGCAUACAAGUCAGAGGUGGUGACCGAGAGAUGCAUGGCGGUAAAUCAGUAAAACGAUCUGCACAUCCAUUUUCUUAGGAUGAAGUCUACUGGAAUCACGAGCCCACCAAUUCCUUUUCUGGGAAAGGAUAACAUACCUCUAACCCUUUCGAUGUGAGAAGAAUAAAAGAAAGAAGUAUGCAAAACCCA
RNAcentral lists this long non-coding RNA (352 nucleotides) under Felis catus (domestic cat). RNAcentral describes it as "lncRNA (ENSFCAG00000050065.1)". Lineage: Eukaryota; Metazoa; Chordata; Mammalia; Carnivora; Felidae. The record is from RNAcentral.